RNAcentral lists this ribosomal RNA (492 nucleotides) under uncultured bacterium. Its description in RNAcentral is "partial 16S ribosomal RNA". It matches the Rfam family "Bacterial small subunit ribosomal RNA", at positions 29 to 507 of the family's 1533-position model. The record is from RNAcentral.
AGUGAACGCUGGCGGUAGGCCUAACACAUGCAAGUCGAACGGCAGCACAGUAAGAGCUUGCUCUUACGGGUGGCGAGUGGCGGACGGGUGAGGAAUACAUCGGAAUCUACUUUUUCGUGGGGGAUAACGUAGGGAAACUUACGCUAAUACCGCAUACGACCUACGGGUGAAAGCAGGGGAUCUUCGGACCUUGCGCGAUUGAAUGAGCCGAUGUCGGAUUAGCUAGUUGGCGGGGUAAAGGCCCACCAAGGCGACGAUCCGUAGCUGGUCUGAGAGGAUGAUCAGCCACACUGGAACUGAGACACGGUCCAGACUCCUACGGGAGGCAGCAGUGGGGAAUAUUGGACAAAGGGCGCAAGCCUGAUCCAGCCAUACCGCGUGGGUGAAGAAGGCCUUCGGGUUGUAAAGCCCUUUUGUUGGGAAAGAAAAGCAGCAGGUUAAUACCCCGCUGUUCUGACGGUACCCAAAAAAUAAGCACCGGCUAACUUCGUG